Molecule: transfer RNA, 66 nt
Filed under: Kikihia nelsonensis
Lineage: Eukaryota; Metazoa; Arthropoda; Insecta; Hemiptera; Cicadidae
Description: tRNA-Asn
Source: RNAcentral
UUAAAUGAAGCCAAAGUAGAGGCAUUUUAUUGUUAAUAAAAUAAUUGAAAUUUAUUUCCAUUUAAA